GAUAAUAGAAUAGAAAUCAUACAGAUAUUCCUUUUUAAAAAAAGGGCGUUUACCUAAGUUGGUUUGCGAGUUUAAAAGAUUCCUUCUUGGCCCGAAAGGCGAGGGUUUUUUUUUUUUUUUUUUUUUUUUUUUUUUAGGAGCUUAUCGCGCCCUAUUUAGAGUCUUUGGCCUUAGUUUUUCAACAAACAGCCACUGCACUGAAAUUAUCACUUUAUUAACACAGAAUUUGGUUGUUUAAAAUGUGCGAUUCCAAUGCUUGGUAGAGUUCCAGAUUAGUUGACAAAAAUCCUUCGGCGCGUGGAGAGUGCAGUGAGUCUGCAGAAAAGAAACAUCGAUGCUCCCGAUUGCGCACCAGACAGUUUGCGAUGCAAAUUCGGCAGGAUUUUUGUCAACCCUACCUUCCGAGAUCGAGGAAGGAAUCUCUGCUGAACAGUCGACUCAAUGAUGUGUACGGUAACGUAAACAAACCCAGGUUUCGCAGCAAUUGUAAACUCGUCCUAAAGCCAAUUAAUCCAGAUUAAUUAUUCUGAAGUGCGGAUUUAUAGUAAAUAACAGUGAAGUAUCAAAUUUACCAUUAUUACGGUUUAAGUCCUCUUUGCUUAAUUUUUUAAGUCAGCUCUCGCUGCUGUGUUCUCCCAUCGUAUCAACAAUUUCAGAGCCAGAAGCAAAGUUGAUUCACUUAAACAAGCGUGAUUCUACCUAUGCAAACAUUCAGAACGAAUUUUUAAGGAUUUAAUAAGACACUUGUAUGCUUUAAUGAAAAAUCUGGACCUUCCUGAACCCACAAAGUAUGUACUCAGCGCUCACCAUUCUAUGGUGUAUUAUAACUUCUUCAUGAAUGCCGUUUUUGCCUUAAGUGUGACAUCAAAUGGAACUGGAAGAAAAGAUAGCUGAAUAUAGAGCCAGAAAAAGAAGAGGUUUACUGGUGAAGAAAGUCCAAAAUUCCGUGAAAGAUGUGUUUUCGUGGCUUCAUGACAAAGUGGAAACUACCAUGAAUGAUCAAGAUGAUAUCAGAGUUGAUGAAAAUGAAACAGAUGAUACUCCUGCUAAUUACAACUCAUCCAGGGAUGCUGUAAUGGAAGAUUUUGGGUCCACCUCGACGGAUGGUGUCGACGAAUAUUUCAUUAACUGGCGGAAAUUCUCCCUUUACGUUCUUUUGUGGUGCUCCCUUUUUGGCCUAGCAGUUUUUGCUGAAUUUGGAGCUGUCUUUGUCAUUCUUUCUGGUUUUGUCAUCAUUUGGGCAAAUACUAGGACCAGUCCCAAAAACCUGGAGAAAUCAGUGCUUACUCUGUAUUCAAUCCCAAUUGUGAAGCAAUCCAAGGCAGUCUAGACGCUAAACAGUUGGAGAGAGAAAUGUUAUAUGGAGGAAUGUAAGAUAGGUUUGUAAUGUGUUAUUGUUGAACACAAAACUUAAUUAUGAGAAUUGGCAUUUGAAACCUCCAAACGAUAUUAUAAAGAUUUGGUUAAAACACGCCAGCUACUUGGCAAAAAUAAUCAGCAAGGUACAGUCUGCUUUAGAAUAAUUAAGUUUGAUUGUACCCAUUGCAGCAGAGGAUUCUUUGCUGUUUUUCUAUGUACAUCCAUUGUAUUUUAAAGAAUGGAAUUCAUCAAAGUAGAAUUGGCAGGGUGCAUCAUUAAAGACCUUCUCACGCAUCCAUUUUCUGCUCGCCCUCUUUAUGAACAAAUAUCUAUCGUAAAUGCUGGGCGGCCAACUCCAGAACUUCCGAAUUUAACUCAUCAAAGUGCAAAAUUUCUAAGGCAUUUCCAAACAACCGUCUACUCAAAAUGUAAUUGGUUGACUGGCAGCCUGAAUUAAAUGCUCUAUUUUGUUGGAAUUGUCUGCUUUUUAGUCAUGACAGACAGAGUAGUUGGACUAAGACAGGAUUCACCAAUCUAAACAAUUUAGUAAAUGCUGUAAAUAGACACGAAGUUACAGUUACUCACCUGCGAGCCUCUUUGUGUUUUUUGACUUUUGGCACAAGUAAAGGAGACGUGCUAUCGGAUAACCAACUGGAUGCUGAGAUAUCAUUGCACAAUCAAAAAGUUCGGCGAAAUAGAGAAAUUUUAAGACGAUUAAUAAUGCUGUGAGCUUUCUGACAAACAAGAGCUUGCAUUUAGAAACAAAGAUAAGGAAGAAAUUUCAAAUAACAGUGGAAACUACAUAGAGCUGCUAAAAUAUACUGGGAAGUAUGAUUCUCUUCUUGCCGAUCACCUGGAAAACCCCACCAAGUUUGAUGGCUCGGCUAUCGAAAUUCAAAUGAGAUUAUUGAGGCGUGUGGUGAAACAAUUUUAAAGGCAAUAAAACAAGAAUUGAAGGAGGCACAUUUCGUCUCCAUCAUAGUAUCUGAAACAACGGAUGUCCCUACUCAAGCACAAUUUUCAAUGGUUCUCCGUUACGUGUACAAAGGAGAAGCCAGAGAAAGAUUCCUUGGAUUUUGUGACAUCGAAGACAAGACUGCCAGAACAAUUGUUGAGAAGAUUCGUCAAUGCUUAACAGAAUUUGAAUGCAAUGAAAAAUUAGUUGCCCAAGCAUAUGAUGGAGCUCUUUUCAUGGCAAAUCAUUUGAAUGGUGUCCAAGCACAACUCAAAGGCACGCACCCCUUUGCGUUUUUUGUUUAUUGCUACGUUUACGAAAUCAAUAAGGUGCUCUCUAAAACGUUACGCUCAUUCCUGAAUGCAAAAUUUUCUUCAGUUCUGCAAGUUUAAUAGCAGCUUUUUUUUCUCAAUCAUCAAGACGUGGAAAAUUUUUGGAUGAAUUUCUUUCCAGGCGACUUCCACAGAUUUGCCCCACAGGGUGGAAUUAUUCAUCUCGACUCAUCAGCACUUUGUGUGGAAACAGGUCUCUUCUUAUAAAUGUUUUUGAAACCAUGCUUGCGUGUCCUGAUGAGGUUGAAGCUGAUAUUUUGGCGUCUGCAAACAGUUUUUUGAGCUUGUUUGAAGACUUCCAGUUCAAUUUCCUUCUGAAAAUGUUCAACAAAAUAUUUGCCUACACAGACCUCCUUCAUGAUGUUUUACAGGAUCAGCUGUCUGACAUCUUAAACUGCCAUCAGACGAUCACUGAUGUCCAACUGAACAUAGCCUCGCUUUAUGAUGAUUUGAAAAUGUUUAUAGAGAUACUGAAGAAUUAGUUGGGGAACCAUCUAAGAAGAAAAGUACGGAUUACAAGCUUUUGUACUACGAAGUGAUUGACACUAUUGUUAAUCAAAUAGAGUUCCUUUUCUUAGAUUAUAGGAAACUCACGUUUCUGAGUCUCCUUUCUCAUCACCAUUUUGGGCGUACGAGCAGACAUUUCCUUAUGACCCUUUUCAGAGUCUUCUUGACAGUUAUGGUAAAUUUUUUGAUGAGGGCCGUCUGAAAAAUGAAUUAAUUGUUGUGUACAGUAGUGAAGAGUUUUCCGAGAAAACCUUGGCAGACAUGGCAAAUAUGCUUAAUGCCAACGCUUUACUUAGAAAUAGUUUUCCUCAGCUAGAUCGACUGGUGUCCUUACUCUACACGGUACCCAUCAGCACCACCUCAGUCAAUAGUUCUGUUUCGACUUUAAGAAGAGUUAAAAAUUACUGUCGAAAUAUCUCAGGGGAAGAACGGAUAUCACAUCUUCCUCUUCUUUCCAUUGAAAGAGAUCUCAUGGCUCAGUUACAAAGUGACAACCAAUUUUAUGAGGAUGUUUACAGCUUUUCUCUCAAAGUGAACAUCGUAAAAUGGAUUUUGACUAUCGGUGAUACCUUCAAUAUUACUCAUGAACUUCAUGUUUUAAAUCUAGAAAAAGCCCGAAAUUAAAAGAAGACUCAUAUUACUUAUUAAAUAGUGAAAAAAAGUAAUUUGUGAUAUUAGAAUGAAUGCUUCAAUCAUGUUCUAAUCCUACUAUGUACAGCAGUUUUCAAUUAUGCCGUUGUUCAAAACAGGUGAAAAACUCGUAGGUACUGAGAAAGUGAACUGAGCUUCGUAAAUUUGGCCCUAUCAACAAACUUAUCAGCAAAUGAUAUGAAAAAUUUAUAAGUUUAAAGUUUUUCAAAUAGAAAAAAUUUCGAAAAUUGAAAAUGUGAAAAUUUGAAAAUUUUGCUGUGAAAAUUUUGUCAACAUCUGUCUGCCGUCAAAAAUUUAUAAUAGACUAAAAGUUUAAAGUUUUCAAGUGUUUCGUUUUUCUCAUUUUGUUAUCUACACUUAAGUGUUACUUCUUUUGUUUUCAUGUCUUUCUUCUUCUGUUACAAUGAGAUCGUAUUGGAAAACAUGUUGUGAUUUCCUAUACAGAUAAGUUAGGUUUCUAUAAUAUUAGUUUUUUUUGUAGUCUUUGAUAGGUAUAUAUGUCGCAGGCAAUUAGUCAAAUCUGGCUAUUGUCAAAUGCAUAGGCAGAUAGUAAAACAUUCAUGCUUAGAUUGAAAUUCUGGCCCACUUGCUAAUUUUAGACAAAAUAAUUCUUUGCUAAUAUAAGAAAUUAUUUGCUAUAAAAAUGGUUAUCAUUCAGUGGUAUCUAUAAUAAUUCUUAGCCUUUGUACCAACAUCUAUCUCAAAAUUUUCAACCUGUCGUAGAAACGGAAUUUUUAAAACACAUGAGCAUCUAAAAAAAAAAUACAAGGGAAGUUCGUAGAUUAUAUACAUUCUACUUUCUACAUGUUCAAAACUCGAAAGGUCUUCGUAAAAAACGUAUUGGAGCUUCUUAAAUUGUCAAUAAUUGAUUAUCUGCCUUUGAUAAAAUGCCUGAUUUGACUAUUUGCCCGCAUAACAUAUAAACUUAAGUACAUAAAGAGGAUUUACCAUGUUGUUGGAAAAUGUUCAGACCAAGGUUUUCCCUUUUCUAAAAAAAGUUUGCAAGGGUAAAACCACCCUUAAAAAUAUUCUACUAAAUUUUAGUUUUGUUUAUGUUAAAAACGCUUUACACAUCAAUGUUGCUAUAAUUAUCAAAGAACUAUCUAAUUCAGGUGAUGUUAGCAUUUUAGGAGUCUGCUUUUUUUUUAUACUGCAAAACAGUUUAACAUAUUUUAUUUUCUUAAUUGUUGACAUUUUGUAAUAGGAUUGGUUUCAUCACUAUUUUGUUAAAAUGCACAUUAUUCGGAGAGAGAGGCCAAACCAAAAGUUUCCAAAAUCAAUGGGUACCAACAUUGUUUGUACCUAGCUUAAAGAAUAUCAUAACCAAUGCAAUAUCACAAUUUUACUAUUUUCAUUUUCCAGAAAAUUCAAUGAUAUUUAUAAAUGAAGGCAAACCCCUUAGAUUAAGAUUUAAAAGAGGGAGAAACCACUUUUACUAAAUUAUAUUUACAAAUGUGAGUGGUGUAGUUAUCUCAUUUUGAUUAGGCUCCGUCAAAAUUUUACUCCCUAAUUUCAGCAAAAAUUUUCUAAUUAAAAAAGAUUCAAUUUUAAAUUUAUGUCCAUGCAUGCCUGAUGAGAAGCCUUUCAUUGAUAGUGAUAAUUUUGAAAACCAUGGGAGUACAUUUCAUUUUUUAUUUGUUUAAAUUUAAGUUAUUUUACUUGUUUCGAUUUACUAUCUCAUUUUCAACUAAGUAUAAUGAACUGAUUUUUAUGCUCGAUAACGUAUUUUCUUAUACCCACUACCAUUUAUGAAACAAGAGGUGCCUGGAAUAACCAGGGCAUGCAGUGCCCUUGUUUAAAGUAGCGACUAAAAACCGCUAAUGAAAGAUUUUGGAACAGGCACAACAACUAUAAGUACCUAGCUAGAUCCUUAGUUGGUCCGCCGAAGAUUUUUAGUAGGUCCUACUGAAAUUUUUUGUCGAAGCAUCUGUUACAAUCGGGAAAAAUUAUCUUACCAUGUAUCUUACAAAGGUGACACUAUGACAAGGGACAUGAAUGAUUUUGCUUUGAUGAAAUGAUGUCCAAACGGAAUUUUUG
This 5841-nucleotide long non-coding RNA is filed under the name Bemisia tabaci. Its description in RNAcentral is "lncRNA ENSSSA2NGG000565". Lineage: Eukaryota; Metazoa; Arthropoda; Insecta; Hemiptera; Aleyrodidae. The record is from RNAcentral.